This 271-nucleotide ribosomal RNA is filed under the name uncultured bacterium. RNAcentral's name for it is "partial 16S ribosomal RNA". It matches the Rfam family "Bacterial small subunit ribosomal RNA", at positions 82 to 354 of the family's 1533-position model. The record is from RNAcentral.
CUUCCGCCGGCGACCGGCGCACGGGUGAGUAACACGUAUGCAACCUGCCCCUGUCAGGGGGACAACCCGCCGAAAGGCGGGCUAAACCCGCGUAUAUCGGUUUCGGGCAUCCGAGAUCGAGGAAAGAUUCAUCGGAAGAGGAUGGGCAUGCGGCGCAUUAGCUAGACGGCGGGGUAACGGCCCACCGUGGCGACGAUGCGUAGGGGUUCUGAGAGGAAGGUCCCCCACACUGGUACUGAGACACGGACCAGACUCCUACGGAAGGCAGCAG